This is a long non-coding RNA of Eucalyptus grandis, 620 nucleotides long. RefSeq lists it as uncharacterized. The record is from RefSeq and is a predicted model, not a curated record. The transcript has 3 exons. Lineage: Eukaryota; Viridiplantae; Streptophyta; Magnoliopsida; Myrtales; Myrtaceae.
GUCGUGUUCGGGUAACAAAUAUAAAACAAGCAAAUAAAAUGUGUUUCGUGUUCGGGUCGUGUUCGAACAUUGUUCGACCCGAAACAAGUUCAAAACCCAAAAACACAAAUGCUUUAGGGUUUAGACUUUAGCCCCAAAAACACGACAGUUGAACACAACUCAAGCACUGAAGGCUAAACUUGAAGCACAUACCUUGUCGGCUCCGCCUUCUUCUCCGACGAGUGCGCCUUCUCGUGGAGUCCGCUGCCGCCCUCCGAUCGACGCGCCUCCGCCUCGCCGUCGCCUUCGCCACCCCUCGCCUCCGCCUCGCCGAUGCCGAAACCCUUGCCGCCGCGUGCGGCCGACCAUCGUCGACAGCUUGGGGACUAGGUUCGCUCGGCGAUCAUGGCGCUCGCUUAUCGCCUCGUUUCCAAGUUUAGAUACUCUGUGUUUGCUUCAAUUCCUGAGUGAACUGCGGCAUAUCUCGCGAAGCUUGCUCGCAUCUCCGUGAAACCAUACUGAAGUGAGGAUCAUCCACGGGACAUGAUGGGUUCGGAGGUUGAAGUCUUCCUUGGUCCAGCUCCAUGCGGAAGGUGCCAUUCUUGAAAGGAGGCUAAAGUAUCUAAGGAGUUGCUCUUAUC